RNAcentral lists this transfer RNA (76 nucleotides) under Synergistaceae bacterium. Its description in RNAcentral is "tRNA-Glu". It matches the Rfam family "tRNA". Rfam says of the family: Transfer RNA (tRNA) molecules are approximately 80 nucleotides in length. Their secondary structure includes four short double-helical elements and three loops (D, anti-codon, and T loops). The record is from RNAcentral. Lineage: Bacteria; Thermotogati; Synergistota; Synergistia; Synergistales; Synergistaceae.
GGUCCCAUCGACUAGUGGUCCAGGUCGUAGCCCUCUCAAGGCUAAAACGCGGGUUCGAACCCCGCUGGGACCGCCA